Molecule: ribosomal RNA, 378 nt
Filed under: uncultured bacterium
Lineage: Bacteria
Description: bacterial SSU rRNA
Rfam family: Bacterial small subunit ribosomal RNA
Source: RNAcentral
UAAUACGUAGGGGGCAAGCGUUGUCCGGAAUUAUUGGGCGUAAAGCGCGCGCAGGCGGUCAUUUAAGUUUGGUGUUUAAGCCCGGGGCUCAACCCCGGAUCGCACUGAAAACUGGGUGACUUGAGUGCGGGAGAGGAAAGUGGAAUUCCACGUGUAGCGGUGAAAUGCGUAGAGAUGUGGAGGAACACCAGUGGCGAAGGCGACUUUCUGGACCGUAACUGACGCUGAGGCGCGAAAGCGUGGGGAGCAAACAGGAUUAGAUACCCUGGUAGUCCACGCCGUAAACGAUGAGUGCUAGGUGUUAGGGGUUUCGAUACCCUUGGUGCCGAAGUCAACACAGUAAGCACUCCGCCUGGGGAGUACGCUCGCAAGAGUGAA